GCUUACGGCCACACUGCCUGGUUCACGCCCGAUCUCGUUUGAUCUCGGAAGCUAAGAUAGGUUGGGCCUGGUUAGUACUUGGAUGGUUGACCGCCUGUGAAUACCAGGUGCUGUAAGCU
This 119-nucleotide ribosomal RNA is filed under the name Scophthalmus maximus (turbot). Lineage: Eukaryota; Metazoa; Chordata; Actinopteri; Pleuronectiformes; Scophthalmidae. The record is from RNAcentral.